Podarcis lilfordi (Lilford's wall lizard) is the source of this 72-nucleotide non-coding RNA. The record is from the annotation of a GenBank genome assembly. NCBI's taxonomy places the organism in Eukaryota, Metazoa, Chordata, Lepidosauria, Squamata, Lacertidae.
AGGACUGUAACUCAGUGGCAGUGCAUCUGCUUUGCAUGCAGAAGGCCCCAGUUUCAAUCUUUGGCAACUCCA